Thamnophis elegans (Western terrestrial garter snake) is the source of this 428-nucleotide long non-coding RNA. RefSeq lists it as uncharacterized. The transcript has 2 exons. NCBI's taxonomy places the organism in Eukaryota, Metazoa, Chordata, Lepidosauria, Squamata, Natricidae. The record is from RefSeq and is a predicted model, not a curated record.
UCGGCACAACUUUUGGAAGGUGGCUCCUUUGGUGAAAUCCAUGUGUGCUAAACAUGGUAUUGAAUAUCAGUCAAAACCUCUCUUCACUGGCUUUGCUGACAUUGUGCAUUCCUUGAAGGUUGCGGGUGAAAUCUGGUUCAAAGCUAUCAUCUUGAACAGAAAACACAAACUCCUAAAAUCUGCCUUCAACAAGGAAAGAAGGAUGAAGAGACAAGAUAGAUCUGAGAUGGAUCUUGAGAGGCUCCAGGCAUAGAAAACCUAGAGUAAUUUGUGAAUGAAACAGAAUGCUGGAGAGCCUUUUGGCAUCAGCUCAACUUUUGGCAUGUUUCCUAAUGAAUAUAAGCAUUGCAAGCAACACCUUCCCCUCCUUUCCUGCUUCUGGGUCUUGGAUGUAUUAUGAACAAAGUUUCUUAAUACUUUUCAUUGAA